Molecule: small RNA, 102 nt
Filed under: bovine gut metagenome
Also listed under: 1 other name
Description: RT-5 RNA
Rfam family: RT-5 RNA
About the family: Clostridium (Firmicutes). Environment (Cow rumen (57))
Source: RNAcentral
GCGCCUGCGGCGGGCAAGGCACGGGAUAUAUGAUGAUUUCGCAGGCAAUCUUUCCGUGUACGGUCCGGUACACUCCGGAAAUUUCCGGACUUUAAAGUCUUU